GGGCCGGUAGCUCAGUUGGUAGAGCAGCGGACUUUUAAUCCGCGGGUCACAGGUUCGAACCCUGUCCGGCCUACCA
This 76-nucleotide transfer RNA is filed under the name Verrucomicrobiota bacterium. RNAcentral describes it as "Verrucomicrobia bacterium (fermentation metagenome) tRNA-Lys". It matches the Rfam family "tRNA". Rfam says of the family: Transfer RNA (tRNA) molecules are approximately 80 nucleotides in length. Their secondary structure includes four short double-helical elements and three loops (D, anti-codon, and T loops). The record is from RNAcentral. Lineage: Bacteria; Pseudomonadati; Verrucomicrobiota.